RNAcentral lists this ribosomal RNA (1372 nucleotides) under uncultured bacterium. RNAcentral describes it as "bacterial SSU rRNA". It matches the Rfam family "Bacterial small subunit ribosomal RNA", at positions 28 to 1381 of the family's 1533-position model. The record is from RNAcentral.
GAUAAACGCUGGCGGCGUGCCUAAUACAUGCAAGUCGAGCGAACGGACGAGAAGCUUGCUUCUCUGAUGUUAGCGGCGGACGGGUGAGUAACACGUGGAUAACCUACCUAUAAGACUGGGAUAACUUCGGGAAACCGGAGCUAAUACCGGAUAAUAUUUUGAACCGCAUGGUUCAAAAGUGAAAGACGGUCUUGCUGUCACUUAUAGAUGGAUCCGCGCUGCAUUAGCUAGUUGGUAAGGUAACGGCUUACCAAGGCAACGAUGCAUAGCCGACCUGAGAGGGUGAUCGGCCACACUGGAACUGAGACACGGUCCAGACUCCUACGGGAGGCAGCAGUAGGGAAUCUUCCGCAAUGGGCGAAAGCCUGACGGAGCAACGCCGCGUGAGUGAUGAAGGUCUUCGGAUCGUAAAACUCUGUUAUUAGGGAAGAACAUAUGUGUAAGUAACUGUGCACAUCUUGACGGUACCUAAUCAGAAAGCCACGGCUAACUACGUGCCAGCAGCCGCGGUAAUACGUAGGUGGCAAGCGUUAUCCGGAAUUAUUGGGCGUAAAGCGCGCGUAGGCGGUUUUUUGAGUCUGAUGUGAAAGCCCACGGCUCAACCGUGGAGGGUCAUUGGAAACUGGAAAACUUGAGUGCAGAAGAGGAAAGUGGAAUUCCAUGUGUAGCGGUGAAAUGCGCAGAGAUAUGGAGGAACACCAGCGGCGAAGGCGACUUUCUGGUCUGUAACUGACGCUGAUGUGCGAAAGCGUGGGGAUCAAACAGGAUUAGAUACCCUGGUAGUCCACGCCGUAAACGAUGAGUGCUAAGUGUUAGGGGGUUUCCGCCCCUUAGUGCUGCAGCUAACGCAUUAAGCACUCCGCCUGGGGAGUACGACCGCAAGGUUGAAACUCAAAGGAAUUGACGGGGACCCGCACAAGCGGUGGAGCAUGUGGUUUAAUUCGAAGCAACGCGAAGAACCUUACCAAAUCUUGACAUCCUUUGACAACUCUAGAGAUAGAGCCUUCCCCUUCGGGGGACAAAGUGACAGGUGGUGCAUGGUUGUCGUCAGCUCGUGUCGUGAGAUGUUGGGUUAAGUCCCGCAACGAGCGCAACCCUUAAGCUUAGUUGCCAUCAUUAAGUUGGGCACUCUAAGUUGACUGCCGGUGACAAACCGGAGGAAGGUGGGGAUGACGUCAAAUCAUCAUGCCCCUUAUGAUUUGGGCUACACACGUGCUACAAUGGACAAUACAAAGGGCAGCGAAACCGCGAGGUCAAGCAAAUCCCAUAAAGUUGUUCUCAGUUCGGAUUGUAGUCUGCAACUCGACUACAUGAAGCUGGAAUCGCUAGUAAUCGUAGAUCAGCAUGCUACGGUGAAUACGUUCCCGGGUCU